CAGCAGCCGCGGUAAUACCGAGGGUGCAAGCGUUAAUCGGAAUUACUGGGCGUAAAGCGCGCGUAGGUGGUUUGUUAAGUUGGAUGUGAAAGCCCCGGGCUCAACCUGGGAACUGCAUCCAAAACUGGCAAGCUAGAGUACGGUAGAGGGUGGUGGAAUUUCCUGUGUAGCGGUGAAAUGCGUAGAUAUAGGAAGGAACACCAGUGGCGAAGGCGACCACCUGGACUGAUACUGACACUGAGGUGCGAAAGCGUGGGGAGCAAACAGGAUUAGAUACCCCCGUAGUCCCUGUCUCUUAUAC
Molecule: ribosomal RNA, 301 nt
Filed under: uncultured bacterium
Lineage: Bacteria
Description: partial 16S ribosomal RNA
Rfam family: Bacterial small subunit ribosomal RNA
Source: RNAcentral